This is a small nuclear RNA of Prolemur simus (greater bamboo lemur), 166 nucleotides long. Its record names the gene U1. It matches the Rfam family "U1 spliceosomal RNA". Rfam says of the family: U1 is a small nuclear RNA (snRNA) component of the spliceosome (involved in pre-mRNA splicing). The record is from Ensembl. Lineage: Eukaryota; Metazoa; Chordata; Mammalia; Primates; Lemuridae.
AUACUUACCUGGGAGGGAAGAGAUACCAUGAUCAUGAAGGUGGUUUUCCCAGGGCAAGACUUAUCCAUUGCACUCUGGAUGUGCUGACCCCUGUGAUUUCCCCAAAUGUGGGAAACUCGACUGCAUAAUUUGUGGUAGUGGGGGAUUGCAUUAACGCUCUCUCCUG